Molecule: RNA transcript, 3937 nt
Organism: Equus quagga
Lineage: Eukaryota; Metazoa; Chordata; Mammalia; Perissodactyla; Equidae
Gene: ZNF346
Gene name: zinc finger protein 346
Exons: 8
Source: RefSeq, a predicted model, not a curated record
GUGGUUAUCGGCCGGUUAGGACUUGCGGGGAAGAUGGAGUAUCCCGCGUUGGGCGCCGCGGAGGCCGCGGACAGCGGAGGGGCCCGGCCAUACAACAGCUCGGAGGAGCGGGAGGGCCGGGAACCGGACGGGCUGCGCUUCGACCGUGAGAAGGCGCGCCGCCUGUGGGAAGCAGUGUCCGGGGCCCAACCAGUGGGGAGGGAGGAAGUGGAGCACAUGAUCCAGAAGAACCAGUGUCUCUUCACCAAUACCCAGUGUAAGGUUUGCUGCGCCUUGCUCAUUUCUGAGUCCCAGAAGCUGGCACACUACCAGAGCAAAAAACAUGCCAACAAAGUGAAGAGAUACCUAGCAAUCCAUGGAAUGGAGACAUUAAAGGGGGAAACGAAGAAGCUAGACUCAGAUCAGAAGAGCAGCAGAAGCAAAGACAAGAACCAGUGCUGCCCCAUCUGUAACAUGACCUUUUCCUCCCCUGUCGUGGCCCAGUCGCACUACCUGGGGAAGACCCACGCAAAGAACUUAAAGCUGAAGCAGCAAUCCACUAAGGUGGAAGCUCUGUCGAAACGCCUUACAAACCCUUUCCUUGUGGCCUCCACCUUAGCCCUGCACCAGAAUAGAGAGAUGAUAGACCCAGACAAGUUCUGCAGCCUCUGCCACGCGACUUUCAACGACCCUGUCAUGGCUCAGCAACAUUAUGUGGGCAAGAAACACAGGAAACAGGAGACCAAGCUCAAACUCAUGGCACACUAUGGGCGGCUGGCAGACCCUGCUGUCACUGACUCAUCAGGAUCAGUCCCAUAUGCUGAGGAAUCUGGAAACUUCGGAACCAAGCUCCUCAGAACCCCGCUUCACAAGAUGCUUCUAUUUUGGCCUGCGACUGAUAGGAACAGCAUAGCAUCCAGCUGGCACAACCCAAGCCGGGAAGGGCUACCCCUGCAAGACAUGUAAGAUAGUGCUGAACUCCAUAGAACAGUACCAAGCUCAUGUCAGCGGCUUCAAACACAAGAACCAGUCACCAAAAACAGUGGCAUCACCCCUGAGCCAGAUUCCAGUGCAAAGGCAACCUAUUCAGAAAGACUCAGCCACCUUGGAAGACUAGAGGUGUUUGUGUCUAGCACCCCAGGUUGAACCAGCCAUGAGCCACCUUCCUGUGACUGUGGUCAGCCCUUGGCUCCCUCUCCCUCCUUUCUUACAUCCGGAGAAUAUAUAGGCCUGAGGCAGGAGUGGGCCACAGACAGCCUCUGAUUGGUCCAGACAAAUCCACCCCUGCUCCUUCGCUUAGAACAGGCCCUGUAGUCAGGACAAGGGAAGCACAGAUCUUGAGGUCUCAAGUGGUAGUAUGAAGGAUGGCCUUUCCCCUUCCCCAGCCCCUGUGGGCCAUAUGUCAUGAGGCCCCAGGCCUGUCUUUCCUCUGCAGGUCAGUUUUGAACCAGUCCCUGCAGCUAAAGAGCUGAGCUCUCCCUAGGCUCUAGGCAUGUCCAUUGAAACCUGGAGCUUUCAUACCAGACCUUGGCGUAGGCAAGAAAGGGCAGAUGGAAGUGGCUGCCGCAUGGAAACUAAUGUGGCACCCUGCUUCUCCCAGAAAGUACAGGCUUUUCUGAGCCUGGAACCAGAUGCUGGCCAGUUGUACAGAUUUGUGUCCACUGUGAAAUCUCCUCCUGCAGCAAUGACACAGUCCUGGCAGAGCAUUGCUGCUCCUCCUGCCCCUUCUCCACAGUUCCUGAAUGGUGCUAAGGAUCUGCAGCAGCUGGGAAUAAGAUAGAACUGUCGGAGGCCUCAGUACCCAGUGGGAUCCUGCUCCAAUGGGGUUCUCUCCCCUUCUCCAUCAGAGGUGCUCUGACCCAGGGUCAUGUGGGAAAAUCCCCACAUACAGGUUUCCUUGAUGGUUCUGGGCCGCUAAAGGCAAACUGCCUCAUGCCAGCCACCUCAGAGGCUGGUUGCUGCCCUCGGCCCGCUAGCCCUCCCCCUCGUGCAGCAGACCGCCUGCCUAGGUUGCUGUGGUGCUAGUCCUCCCCCGUCAUCCACCGGGAAGCUCCUGAGUACCGGGGAGCGGGAUGGGCCCCGGGAAAGAAAGGAGAGCUGAUGCAGUGAGGAAGCAUAUUCCCCAGGCCCCGAACCUAGAUUUCUCCAGCUCUGCUGUGUUCUAUGGCCUAGGACUUCACUGGGAGUGGAUUUUUCCUUGUAACUUUCAAACAGGAAUUCUAGGGAGUGGCACCAUCAGAGGUCCCUCCUCACUGGGUCAGAGAGUCCCUAGCUGCUCUCGUGGCCUCGCUCCCCCUCCCUCCACCUGUGAAAUACCUUUACCUUUACGUACCGUGUGUGGGUGGGUGUGCGUUGCUUAUGCUCUGUCUCUUGGUUACUGAAGCAUCUAAAUAAAGAAUUUCUCCCAUGAGCCAGACUGCAACUUAACAGACCUGGGAUUUGGGGCCAUAUUACCAUUGGAUCUAGUAUGUGUGUAUUGACCCCUCACCCCGUUCAGACUCCCAGGGCCCUAAAUACUGAUCUUAGGACUUAGGAUGGAGACAGACAUCCAAAUUGCUUGGCAACCCUGUGUUGACGUUUUUCCAGGUGUGCUAAACUCAAUACCACGUUAUCCGCUCAUCUACCUCCCCCUGUCACAGAGGGCCUCAUGGAGAUCUUUAGAAGGUUUAAGCUGGGAAUCUACCUUGUUUGAGCGGCUCAUUCUGGCUGCUAUGUGGAGAAGGAAUGCAGGAAAGGAGGCAGGGAGGCCAAAAUGGAGGCUGUGUCCAAUAUAGCUCUCUAGGCCAACCCCUUCAAGGCAGAGACCUAGCCUCAUUCCUUUCCACCUUCCUGAUGUCCAAAGUGGUGUGUCAUGAAGUGUGUGUUGAAUGAAUGAACAUGGGUGCAUGAGAAGAGAUGGCCUUUUCCUGCUCGGCUCUUACACAGCAGUAGGUUUGUUCUGUGAGACUUAUAAACCUAGUGAUUCUUGGAAGAACCUUUUCCAUGACGCAGAAGUGAGCUAGGAAAGGAAGGGAGUGUGAUGGCCUCAGGAGCCCUUUGUUUCAGACAGCCAGAUCUGAGGAAGGUGCCCAGGCAGCCUCAGCUCCCAUUCUUCCCUCAGCAAAAUGUUCUUGGGCACCUUCUCUUGGCCAGCUGGAAAGGCCCCACAACAACCCCCGGGGUGGGUUCUCAGCUGUCAGCUUCCAAAGCCCAGACUGCCUCCCAAAGUUCCCCAGAGUCCUACUCCACCUAGGAUGUUAGAAUCAGCCCUAUCUACCAGGCAAGGAAGGAAAGGGCAGAGGGGUGGGUAGGCUGCCAAACUGUGAGCCCUUGGCUUGCGGGACCUCAUAGUCUGGAUUCAGGAGUCCUUGCUAACUGUGUGCUCAGCCCUGUUGGCAUGGGCACACAGGGAUGAACAGUUUCUUGCCCUUGGGGAGUUCACACACUGUUAAAGAUCAUUGUGGUGAUGGUCAAAGGGUUAUAGAGGGCGCUGUGGGAAUGCCCAGGAUGCAGGCACUAACUCAGCCAAGGAUAUGAAAAAGCUGGAAAAGUUGGGAAACCAGCAUUUGAUCUGCAUAACAACCUUUAGAGCUGGGUGAUGAUAUUCCAUUUUAUAGAGAAGGAACAAGGCUCAGAGAGGUGUAGUGAUUUGCCCAAGCUCUUGACACUAAGAAGGGGCAAAAUGGAGAGUGGAAUCCGGUUCACUAGAUUCCUAGUCCAGAACCCUUUCCAAACAAGGACAAGAGUCCUUCCCACGUGACCCCUGGGUCUGCCUCGCCCAUCUCCUGGCAGGGCCAUGGACUCACAGAGCGAGCAGCCACUCAGGGCAGAGGCAGCAGCAGCACCCACAAAACAGAUUGGACAAAGGACCAGCCCUAUCGCCAAGGCGUUAGGUCUGCACGCUCCACCUUGGCGGCCCAGGGUUUCACUGGUUCAGAUCCUGGGUGUGGACAUGGCACCACUCACCAGGCCAUGCUGA